CUGUGCUGUCCAUGACCUCAAGCCCAUUGUACACGUACUGUGAGUUCCUCUGUGUUUGUGGGCCCUGGCAGACACACACAAAGGCACGGGUGGGAAAUGUGACAGUACUGGAUGGUCUACUUUCUCAUCUUAAGAAGCUGCCGCUGCUGCAUCCCAACGUGUAAAGAUGACGGAUCUGAAGGGAACAAAAGGGAAGCUUUUCAAAACACUUCUGAUGGCCAGGAUCAAAGACAUCGUCUCAGAAAAAUAGAACAGAGAAAAAGAGAGAGAAUGAGGGAAAUAAAAUAAAAAAAUGUAAAAAAUAAAAAAUUGGGAGUAAACAAGUCAAGCAAGGAGAGCAAGAGUGGAGACGAGAGGUAGCAUCUUAACCACGUCCACGGUGUCUUCGGUGUCUCCGUUCUCCCUGAGCCCAGAAGCAUGCCAAUCCUUCCCUCCGUGUCAUCGAAGGCAAGCCAGUGUACACGGUGAGACACCUCCUGAGGGUUCGACCAUGGGGCAGGGGUUUCCAGUACCUGGUUGACUGGGAGGGUUAUGGCCCGGAGGAGAAGUGCUGGGUACCCGCUAAAGACAUCUUGGACCCGGCCCUCAUUGCCGACUUUCACCGCUGGCACCCCAGUCAACCAGUUAUCCGCCCAGGUGGAACACCAGGUGGUGUCCUUAGAGGGGGGGUGGGUACUGUCACACCCUGAUCUGUUUCACCUGUCCUUGUGCUUGUCUCCACCCCUUCCAGGUGUUGCCAGUUUUCUCAAUUAUCCCCUGUGUAUUUAUACAUGUGUUCUCUGUCUGUUUGUUGCCAGUUCAUCUUGUUCGUUCAAGAUUACCAGCGUUUUUCCUGUUUCUUUUCCCAGCCUCUCUUUGCUAGUCCUCCUGGUUUUGACCUUUGCUGUCCUGACCCUGUACCCGCCCGCCUGACCUCUCUGCCUGACCCUGAACCUGCCUGCCGUGCUGUACCUUUGCUCCACCUCUGGAUUAUUGAACCCUGCCUGUCCUUGACCCUGAGUCCGCCUGCCAUCCUAUACAUCUGCCUUACCCUGGAUUUUCGACCCCUGCCUGCCUUGACCUGUUUUUGUCUGCAUCCUGUUUGCUACAAUAAACAGUGUUAGUUCGACAGUCUGCAUCUGAUUCUGACCUUGAUCCCUGAUACCUAAAUGCUUGCAUUUUUGGGGGAAAAUAGUGAAAUCACCAUGUGAAAGGUAUGUGAAUGUAUGCAUUGUAUUUGGGAGGGGUGCUUUCUAUACUGUCCACCCCCCCUGCUGGAAAAUACAGGCCUCGUCAUCAACAAUGCUACUGGGGCUUUACAGUGUCAAUAUUUUAUCAUGCCUGGACAAUCUCAUUAAGAACUACCAUCAUUUGAAAUAUGUGUGAAAUAAUGAAAAAAAUAUAUAAAAGCAGUCUAAUCUCACACCUAUUGUAAUUUCACCACCUUAAUUGAUUAAUCUACUUUGUCAUGUCCACGCUGGGCAACAGUGGGAGUACCUACAAUGACAGAUCUCUUUAAUAAACUUGGCCCUCACACGUCAGGGUAUACCAUUCACAAUUGCAUUGGCUGGAACCAUUUUAAAAUCGGUUGGUAGCUCCUGUCUGUUUUAAGACCUACAGAUGUAGGAUCUUAAUUUGAGCCGGUUUGCUACAGCAGGAAAAUUAACCUACAGCAAUAGGAAAUGUGAACUAUUAUGCAUAUUUAAAUUCAUGGAGUUUUUUUUGUGGGGGUUGAUGCAUUUUUCUUUAAGGCAAAUCAAGUCUGACAUUUUAAAGUGGAAACUUUAGAAGCCUUUUAAAACAAAUUAAGAUCCUACAUCUGUACAGUAUGCCAGGGCCACAAAGAGCAACCCUAAGCAAGACUUAUUAUUAUAUCAAAACAGACACAUGUUUUUGGAGUUGUUUAACCUGAAUCUUGUAUAAGACUGAUUCAUUUUUAGAUAUAGGAAAUAGGAAAUCCUCUGACCAGAAUUAAAUUGAAGGAGGUUGCUAUUACUCAGAUCAAUCAUUGCUUUAUACAUUACUUAGACCCAUAACCUACACAAUAGAACAAAUUCUAAAAUCGCUGUCCAAUAUUUGAAUGUAUAUACUGUACGUGUGGCUACACGUACUCAUCAUACACACGCUACUUCAUAUGAGCAUGUUGAAACAGCUUGAUGUUACAUUCAUAUGUUUUGUACACUUGGUGUAUGUAUACUGCAGUCGGAGAGUGCCUUACAACUGGCAUCAAUCAAUAAGUACGAACAUUCACCAAAGACUGUAGGCCUACAUCCAAUAAUGGUGGGAGGUUGUUGAUGGGGAUAAUGAAUAUUUCCCUAGUCUUAAAUGAGAAGAAGCUCUUUAAGAUGCAGAAUGGCCAGAGAACUAGACCACUGUGUUAUCUGUAUGGCCACCUCCAGCCUUCGGGUAAGGGAUAUUCCCUAUCUCUCUCUGUCCCUCUACCCCUCCAUCCCUCCUCUCCCCUUGCUUACUUCCAUCCCCCUAGCUCCCUCCACCCUCCUCUCUUUUGUUUUUGCCAUCCCUCCUUUACCUCUGGCUCCCUCCACCCUCCUCUCUCCUUGGUUUCCUCCAUACCUCCAUCCCUCCUUUAACUCUGGCUCCCUCGAUCCUUCCGUCCCUCCUCUCACUUUGGCUCCCUCUAUCCCUCUUUCCCCCUGGCUCCAAUCCCCCCUGACAGGCUGGAGGAAUGACCCUGAGAAUCACAUUAUGUAUAUUUCUUAGCAGCCCCCUGCAUUUGCAUGUAGAAGACAGUUAAAAUAAGGCCAUAAAUCAGUCCGCAAACAUAUAAAUGGAUUCGAAGGAGAUUGAAACCUUCGGCGAGUCUCUUGAGCAAAUAUUUCAAGCCCCGUCUGAGAGAUAUCCACUGUCAUUAACUAGCAGAGCCUCUCUGACCACUCAGCUUGUAUAUUUCCUUCAUUACAUGACGGGAGAGGGGUUGUGGUGGUGGGGUGGGGUGGCUAUACGACUGUCUGCUUCGAUAAAUCUACCUGCAUAUUCUGAUAUGUGCUGCUUUGCCACCAGCUAAUGCUUUGGAGAAACAGUAUCAUUUGAAAAAUGUCUCUGCAACUACCCGCAUAAAAUAGUGGGUGCCCAACUGAACGGAGGUUGAUGAGUGGGAAAUAUUUAGCCUGCCUUGUAUGCUUAGUAUUAAAGCUAUCAAAUGUAAGAUAAUGGACAUUCUUCAUUUGUUUCCCCUGCAACAACAAAAAAAUCGGAAAAGAAAAGGCAAAAGGAAAUCCCUUCCAUUGUUUUUACAAUAGCAGAACAAAUUGCAUUGAUUUGGCAACCCCUGUUUGAGAAGCACAUUAACAGAUAAGCCCCAAAAGAUGACCAAAAAGAUAAGCGGGAAGUGAUUGCAUUACACACACAACAUCCAAAAUCUAUCUUGCAUACGACUUACUAAAACUAAGUACUAUGUACUAAUCAUACUACAUAAUAUUUUGAAAUGUUUUGUUUAGUCAAAAUGAAUGCAGUAAAACAACAAAUAUCAACAUACUGGUGAUGAAUUGGAACAUGUUCAAAGAAAUUAGGUGGCAAACAAGUCAGGCUGCUCAGUUGAUUGGUUGACGUACUGUAAAUUGAAAAAUGACUAAACUUAACAAAAAUAAGAAAUGAUAUUACCAAACAGUGGUGGAAAAAGUAUCAAAUUGUCAUACUUGAGUAAAAGUAAAAAUAUCUUAAUAGAAAAUGAUUCAAAUAAAAUACCACUUGAGUUCAAGUCUAAAAGUAUUUGGUUUAAAAUGUACUUAAGAAUCGAAAGUAAAAGUAUAAAUCAUUUUAAAUUCCUGAUAUUAGGCAAACCAGACGGCACGAUUUUCUUUUCUUUUCUUAUGGGUAGCAGGGGGCACACUCAGAGAUCAUUUACAAAACUAAGCAUUUGUGUUUAGUGAGUCUGACAAAUCAGAAGCAUUAGGAAUGACCAGGGAUGUUCUCUUGACAAGUGUGUGAAUUAGAAAAUGUUCCUGUCCUGUUAAGCAUUCAAAAUGUAACUAGAACUUUUGGGUGUCAGUGAAAAUGUAAGGAGUAAAACCUGCAUUAUUUUCUUUAGGAAUGUAGUGAAGUAAAAGUAAAAGUUGUAAAAAAAUAUAAGUAGUACCACACUAUCUUUCAGAGAACAAGUUAACUACUGACUUUCAGCAUGCAUAUAGAGAAGGGCACUCAACUUGUACACCACUGACUCAGAUGGAAAUUCCUUAUAUUGGUGAUUGGUUAAUUGGUGAUUAGUUAAUUAAAAUAAAUGGAUAAUAAGAUGAUAGUUGGAGCUGUAUCUUUAGAUUUCAGUGCAGCCUUUGAUGUUAUUGAUCAUAAAUUGUAAUUGAAAAAGCUAACUUGCUAUGGCUUUAUAUCACCUGCCAUCACAUGGUUGGAGAGUUAUUUAUCCAGUAGAACCCAGAGAGUGUUAUUUAAUGGAAGCUUCUCUAACAUCAGAAAUGUACCAUGCGGUGUCCCUCAAGGCAGUUGCCUUGUGCCGUUACUCUUCUAUAUUUUUUACAAAUGAUUUACCACUGGUCUUACACAAAGCUAGAAUAACUAUGUAAGCAGAUGAUACCACACUCUACAUGGCAGCACCCAAUGCCAGUGAGCUCACUGAAAUUCUAAAUAAGGUGUUACAGUCCGUAUCAGAAUGGGUGAUUAAGAAUAAACUGGUCUUAAAUACAUCUAAAACUAAAAGCAUUGUAUUUGGUUCAAAUGGGGAGGGGUAUGUCUGUUAUAAAAACUGCAGCAUAGAAAGACCUAGAAAAUCUGCAGCCAGCUCAAAACAGAGCAGCAUGCCUUACCCUUAACUGCAAAUACAGAAUUAACAUCAACAACAUGCACGCCAGUGUUUCCUGGUUGAGGGUUGACAAGCAAUUAACUGCUUCUCUUCUAGUUUUUAUGAGAAAUAUUACUGUAACGAUAAUUCCAUAUUGUCUGCAUAAUCAAAUAACAUUCAACAUUCAGCUCAGACAGCCAUACAUACCCCACAAGACAUUCCACCAGGAGUCUCCUCACAGUCCCCGAGUCCAAAAUGAAUUCACUGCAAUGCACAGUUGUAUACAAAGUCAUGGAACUCCCUUCCAUGCAAUCAUUACUCAAGCAAACAGCAAAAUUACAUUUUAAAAAACGGAUUAAAAGCAACUCAUGGAACGGCGGGGACUGUGAGGGGACACACACACAAACACACCCAGAAACACCCAGAGUCACACAUUAUAAUAUAAUGGCGCCGGAUGAGAUGGCUGCCGUUUUACAGGCUCCUAACCAAUUGUGCUAUUUUGUGUGUUUUCACCGUUGUUUGUAACUGCAUUGUUGGUUAAGGGCUUGUAAGUAAGCAUUUCACAGUAAUGGUUACACCUGUUAUAAUCGGCACAUUUGACAAAUAAAAAUGUAUUUGAUUUGGCAAGCUA
This is a long non-coding RNA of Oncorhynchus nerka (sockeye salmon), 5363 nucleotides long. RefSeq lists it as uncharacterized. The transcript is spliced from 2 exons. Lineage: Eukaryota; Metazoa; Chordata; Actinopteri; Salmoniformes; Salmonidae. The record is from RefSeq and is a predicted model, not a curated record.